AGAGGCCAAUGACGAUCAUGUCGCAAACAACGCAUUGCCUACAUUGUUUGACUGUAGCCAUGAUAGGAAUUUGUAGCAUUUCUGAGGCCUCU
Molecule: small nucleolar RNA, 92 nt
Filed under: Nelumbo nucifera (sacred lotus)
Lineage: Eukaryota; Viridiplantae; Streptophyta; Magnoliopsida; Proteales; Nelumbonaceae
Description: Small nucleolar RNA SNORD34
Rfam family: Small nucleolar RNA SNORD34
About the family: snoRNA U34 is found in intron 5 of the ribosomal protein L13a gene in humans. U34 is a member of the C/D class of snoRNA which contain C (UGAUGA) and D (CUGA) box motifs, and functions in directing site-specific 2'-O-methylation of 25S rRNAs.
Source: Rfam by way of RNAcentral